Molecule: non-coding RNA, 144 nt
Organism: Gossypium hirsutum (cotton)
Lineage: Eukaryota; Viridiplantae; Streptophyta; Magnoliopsida; Malvales; Malvaceae
Source: Rfam
UGUUAAAAAUUUCAUUUAUUUGUGAUAUUAAAAAAAAUUGACGUGAUUAACGAAAUAGUUAGUGACAUGUGAUGUGCCAUAUGCACCUCAUGUUGACGUACAUGGACUAAUUUUUAAUUGUAGGAAUGAAUGAAUUUUUUAACA